Molecule: long non-coding RNA, 607 nt
Organism: Lolium rigidum
Lineage: Eukaryota; Viridiplantae; Streptophyta; Magnoliopsida; Poales; Poaceae
Exons: 4
Source: RefSeq, a predicted model, not a curated record
GGUUUUCUUCAUGGAUUAAAAUGUGUGUUAAUUCAGGACCCGACUUGCUUCUUGAUGUUCUGGUUUCGGUGAGCCCGAAACAUCAACAGGAUUGUUCCAUGGCACUGUACAAAAUGGGGACCAAAGCUGCAGCACCUUGCCUAUGGAUGCAGCAAAUCCAUCUUUAACACCACAGGUUAGCAUAAAAAAGGAUGCAGGUUCAUAGGCAUGUCGAGCCGGCUGUAGCGAGGCUGCCGAAGUUCGGAUAUGUUGUUCGACCAGUUCGGAAGAGUCAUUUGAUGGGGUGCGAAGCAGUACAUCCGACAAGUUCUCUUGCUGAAAUGUUGCUGAUUCGAACUGGUUGUUUGUGAUGCUACAUGUGAUGUAUAAAAAAUGGACAGAGAUGGUAAGAUUACAUCUGUAAGUACUGAUUUGUCUGCUUGAGGUUUGGAACAAGUGCAGAGAAUCCAAGUACGCUCCAGGUCAUCUACUGCCUUAAACUGUAUCUAAAAGGGCUUCCUUGAUGCUGUCGACGCAAGAUAGCCUCCCAAUGCCACACCUACCUUGUCAGCUCGCCUCAAUAAAUGAAGCUUGGCGGUGUGCACGGCAGCGCUGAUGUGAACCGGGA